GUGGGGUGAAGAACAAGACAUCUCCAUAUUGUACGUAACGAAUGGUGAGCCCGUUUGUACCAAUUGUACAGCGAUCUGAUCAGGGUCAGCCUUGAACAGAGCGAAAGGAUGAAGCAUGACUUAAGUGCUUCAGACUGUUGCAAAGGAUAAAACAAAGGAAAAGCCACAGUUGGCCUAUUGAGUAGCUCCUCAGUGCCACUGCUUGUCUGAGUAUCUACUCCACAAGCUGCCAGGGAUUGUUAGGAGCAACAAUAUUUCAGACUUACUGAGAUGCCUAGAGAAAUACAUCUUUCUCCUUGAGAGGUUUGUUCCAAGCUAAUAGCACUUUCUGCCAGUGAACAUGACUGAAGACAGAGCCAAGAGAAACCUGGUAACUGACAGAAAAUAUCCCAGCAAUGGAUGAAGCAGCAAAUGAAUAAAAUAAUGAAGUGAUAAGUCA
This 439-nucleotide long non-coding RNA is filed under the name Coturnix japonica (Japanese quail). RNAcentral's name for it is "lncRNA (ENSCJPG00005004034.1)". Lineage: Eukaryota; Metazoa; Chordata; Aves; Galliformes; Phasianidae. The record is from RNAcentral.